UAGGGAAUAUUAGAAAUGGACGAAAGUCUGAUCUAGCAACACCGCGUGUGCGAAGAUGGCCUUCGGGUCGUAAAGCACUUUUUGGAAGGAAUAGGAAGGAAUGUACUUCCAGAAUAAGUCUCGGCUAACUACGUGCCAGCAGCCGCGGUAACACGUAGGAGGCAAACGUUAUCCGGAUUUACUGGGCGUAAAGCGCGUGUAGGUGGUACUGUAAGUAGGGCGUGAAAGCUCCUGGCUCAACUGGGAGAGGCCGUUCUAAACUACAGGACUAGAGGAUGGUAGAGGGAGGUGGAAUUCCAGGUGUAGCGGUGGAAUGCGCAGAUAUCUGGAGGAACACCGGUGGCGAAGGCGGCCUCCUGGACCAUUCCUGACGCUCAGACGCGAAAGCUAGGGUAGCAAACGG
Molecule: ribosomal RNA, 403 nt
Filed under: uncultured bacterium
Lineage: Bacteria
Description: bacterial SSU rRNA
Rfam family: Bacterial small subunit ribosomal RNA
Source: RNAcentral